Molecule: ribosomal RNA, 800 nt
Filed under: uncultured Alphaproteobacteria bacterium
Lineage: Bacteria; Pseudomonadati; Pseudomonadota; Alphaproteobacteria
Description: bacterial SSU rRNA
Rfam family: Bacterial small subunit ribosomal RNA
Source: RNAcentral
GCCUCUUCGGAGGUACACGAGCGGCGGACGGCUGAGUAACGCGUAGGAACGUACCCCAAACUGAGGGAUAAGCACCAGAAAUGGUGUCUAAUACCGCAUGUGAUCUCCGGAUUAAAGCUUCGGCGGUUUGGGAACGGCCUGCGUACGAUUAGAUAGUUGGUAGGGUAAUGGCCUACCAAGUCGACGAUCGUUAGCUGGUCUGAGAGGAUGAUCAGCCAGACUGGGACUGAGAACGGCCCAGACUCCUACGGGAGGCAGCAGUAGGGAAUUUUCCACAAUGGGGGCAACCCUGAUGGAGCAACGCCGCGUGCAGGAUGAAUGCCUUCGGGUUGUAAACUGCUUUUAUAUGUGACGAAUAUGACGGUAGCAUAUGAAUAAGGAUCGGCUAACUCCGUGCCAGCAGCCGCGGUCAUACGGAGGAUCCAAGCGUUAUCCGGAAUUACUGGGCGUAAAGAGUUGCGUAGGUGGCAGAGUGUGUCGGUAGUGAAAGCGUGUGGCUCAACCAUAUAUACAUUACCGAAACUGCUCAGCUAGAGGACGAGAGAGGUUAUUGGAAUUCCUAGUGUAGGAGUGAAAUCCGUAGAUAUUAGGAGGAACACCGAUGGCGUAGGCAGAUAACUGGCUCGUUCCUGACACUAAGGCACGAAAGCGUGGGUAGCAAACGGGAUUAGAUACCCCGGUAGUCCACGCCGUAAACGAUGAAUGCUAGCUGUUAUGGGUAUCGACCCCCGUAGUAGCGAAGCUAACGCGUUAAGCAUUCCGCCUGUGGAGUACGGUCGCAAGACUAAAACAUAAAGGAA